This 465-nucleotide ribosomal RNA is filed under the name uncultured bacterium. Its description in RNAcentral is "partial 16S ribosomal RNA". It matches the Rfam family "Bacterial small subunit ribosomal RNA", at positions 28 to 507 of the family's 1533-position model. The record is from RNAcentral.
GACGAACGCUGGCGGCGUGCUUAACACAUGCAAGUCGAACGGAAAGGCCCUGCUUGCAGGGUACUCGAGUGGCGAACGGGUGAGUAACACGUGGGUGAUCUGCCCUGCACUUCGGGAUAAGCCUGGGAAACUGGGUCUAAUACCGGAUAGGAGCCAUUUUUAGUGUGAUGGUUGGAAAGUUUUUUCGGUGUAGGAUGAGCUCGCGGCCUAUCAGCUUGUUGGUGGGGUAAUGGCCUACCAAGGCGGCGACGGGUAGCCGGCCUGAGGGGGUGGACGGCCACAUUGGGACUGAGAUACGGCCCAGACUCCUACGGGAGGCGGCAGUGGGGAAUAUUGCACAAUGGGCGCAAGCCUGAUGCAGCGACGCCGCGUGGGGGAUGACGGCCUUCGGGUUGUAAACUCCUUUCGCUAGGGACGAAGCUUUUUGUGACGGUACCUAGAUAAGAAGCACCGGCUAACUACGUG